GAGUUUGAUCCUGGCUCAGAACGAACGCUGGCGGCGUGCUUAACACAUGCAAGUCGAACGUGAUCCAGAGCUUGCUYUGGUGAAAGUGGCGCACGGGUGAGUAACGCGUGGAUAACCUGCCCUGGUAUCUGGGAUAACAUCUCGAAAGGGGUGCUAAUACCGGAUAAGCCUACGGGGUCCUCGGACUCUGCAGGAAAAGGUGGCCUCUAUUUAUAAGCUACCGUAUCAGGAUGGGUCCGCGUACCAUUAGCUAGUUGGUGGGGUAAUGGCCCACCAAGGCGACGAUGGUUAGCUGGUYUGAGAGGAUGAUCAGCCACACUGGAASUGAGACACGGUCCAGACUCCUACGGGAGGCAGCAGUGGGGAAUUUUGCGCAAUGGGGGAAACCCUGACGCAGCAACGCCGCGUGAGUGAUGAAGGCUUUCGGGUCGUAAAGCUCUGUCAGAGGGGAAGAAAUGAGCCUGGCUAAUAUCCAGGUUUCUUGACGGUACCCUCAAAGGAAGCACCGGCUAACUCCGUGCCAGCAGCCGCGGUAAUAC
This 539-nucleotide ribosomal RNA is filed under the name uncultured Geobacteraceae bacterium. RNAcentral's name for it is "bacterial SSU rRNA". It matches the Rfam family "Bacterial small subunit ribosomal RNA", at positions 9 to 526 of the family's 1533-position model. The record is from RNAcentral. Lineage: Bacteria; Pseudomonadati; Thermodesulfobacteriota; Desulfuromonadia; Geobacterales; Geobacteraceae.